UACGUAGGGUGCGAGCGUUAAUCGGAAUUACUGGGCGUAAAGCGCGCGUAGGUGGUUCAGUAAGUUGGAAGUGAAAUCCCCGGGCUCAACCUGGGAACUGCUUUCAAAACUGCUGAGCUAGAGUACGGUAGAGGGUAGUGGAAUUUCCUGUGUAGCGGUGAAAUGCGUAGAUAUAGGAAGGAACACCAGUGGCGAAGGCGACUACCUGGACUGAUACUGACACUGAGGUGCGAAAGCGUGGGGAGCAAACAGG
Molecule: ribosomal RNA, 253 nt
Filed under: uncultured bacterium
Lineage: Bacteria
Description: partial 16S ribosomal RNA
Rfam family: Bacterial small subunit ribosomal RNA
Source: RNAcentral